GAAACCCAGUGCAAUUCGUUGCACUAUUGCAUGGUGAAUACAUAGCCAUGCAAGGCGAACCGGGGGAACUGAAACAUCUAAGUACCCCGAGGAAAAGAAAUCAACCGAGAUUCCCCCAGUAGCGGCGAGCGAACGGGGAGGAGCCCAGAACCUGAAUCAGCGUAUGUGUUAGUGGAAGCGUCUGGAAAGUCGCACGGUACAGGGUGAUAGUCCCGUACACAAAAAUGCAUAUGUUGUGAGUUCGAUGAGUAGGGCGGGACACGUGACAUCCUGUCUGAAUAUGGGGGGACCAUCCUCCAAGGCUAAAUACUCCUGACUGACCGAUAGUGAACCAGUACCGUGAGGGAAAGGCGAAAAGAACCCCGGCGAGGGGAGUGAAAUAGAACCUGAAACCGUGUACGUACAAGCAGUGGGAGCACCUUCGUGGUGUGACUGCGUACCUUUUGUAUAAUGGGUCAGCGACUUAUAUUUUGUAGCAAGGUUAACCGAAUAGGGGAGCCGUAGGGAAACCGAGUCUUAACUGGGCGAAUAGUUGCAAGGUAUAGACCCGAAACCCGGUGAUCUAGCCAUGGGCAGGUUGAAGGUUGGGUAACACUAACUGGAGGACCGAACCGACUAAUGUUGAAAAAUUAGCGGAUGACUUGUGGCUGGGGGUGAAAGGCCAAUCAAACCGGGAGAUAGCUGGUUCUCCCCGAAAGCUAUUUAGGUAGCGCCUCGUGAACUCAUCUUCGGGGGUAGAGCACUGUUUCGGCUAGGGGGUCAUCCCGACUUACCAAACCGAUGCAAACUCCGAAUACCGAAGAAUGUUAUCACGGGAGACACACGGCGGGUGCUAACGUCCGUCGUGAAGAGGGAAACAACCCAGACCGCCAGCUAAGGUCCCAAAGUCAUGGUUAAGUGGGAAACGAUGUGGGAAGGCAUAGACAGCCAGGAUGUUGGCUUAGAAGCAGCCAUCAUUUAAAGAAAGCGUAAUAGCUCACUGGUCGAGUCGGCCUGCGCGGAAGAUGUAACGGGGCUAAACCAUGCACCGAAGCUGCGGCAGCGACGCUUAGGCGUUGUUGGGUAGGGGAGCGUUCUGUAAGCCGUUGAAGGUGACCUGUGAGGGUUGCUGGAGGUAUCAGAAGUGCGAAUGCUGACAUAAGUAACGAUAAUGCGGGUGAAAAACCCGCACGCCGGAAGACCAAGGGUUCCUGUCCAACGUUAAUCGGGGCAGGGUGAGUCGACCCCUAAGGCGAGGCUGAAAAGCGUAGUCGAUGGGAAACAGGUUAAUAUUCCUGUACUUGGUGUUACUGCGAAGGGGGGACGGAGAAGGCUAGGCUAGCCGGGCGACGGUUGUCCCGGUUUAAGCAUGUAGGCGGAGUGACUUGGUAAAUCCGGUUGCUUAUCAACGCUGAGGUGUGAUGACGAGUCACUACGGUGGUGAAGUAGUUGAUGCCAAGCUUCCAGGAAAAGCCUCUAAGCAUCAGGUAACAUUAAAUCGUACCCCAAACCGACACAGGUGGUCAGGUAGAGAAUACUCAGGCGCUUGAGAGAACUCGGGUGAAGGAACUAGGCAAAAUGGUGCCGUAACUUCGGGAGAAGGCACGCUGGCAUUAGGUAAAGAGACUUGCUCUCGGCGCCGAAGCCAGUCGCAGAUACCAGCUGGCUGCAACUGUUUAAUAAAAACACAGCACUGUGCAAACACGAAAGUGGACGUAUACGGUGUGACGCCUGCCCGGUGCUGGAAGGUUAAUUGAUGGGGUCAGCCGCAAGGCGAAGCUCUUGAUCGAAGCCCCAGUAAACGGCGGCCGUAACUAUAACGGUCCUAAGGUAGCGAAAUUCCUUGUCGGGUAAGUUCCGACCUGCACGAAUGGCGUAAUGAUGGCCAGGCUGUCUCCACCCGAGACUCAGUGAAAUUGAACUCGCUGUGAAGAUGCAGUGUACCCGCGGCAAGACGGAAAGACCCCGUGAACCUUUACUAUAGCUUGACACUGAACAUUGAGCCUUGAUGUGUAGGAUAGGUGGGAGGCAUUGAAGUGUGGACGCCAGUCUGCAUGGAGCCAACCUUGAAAUACCACCCUUUAAUGUUUGAUGUUCUA
RNAcentral lists this ribosomal RNA (2078 nucleotides) under Yersinia enterocolitica. RNAcentral describes it as "partial 23S ribosomal RNA". It matches the Rfam family "Bacterial large subunit ribosomal RNA", at positions 123 to 2224 of the family's 2925-position model. The record is from RNAcentral. Lineage: Bacteria; Pseudomonadati; Pseudomonadota; Gammaproteobacteria; Enterobacterales; Yersiniaceae.